GAGUUUGAUCCUGGCUCAGGAUGAACGCUGGCGGCGUGCCUAAGACAUGCAAGUCGAGUGGGUUUAGGCCCACGGCGAACGGGUGAGUAAUACCUAGGAACUUUCUUUAAGUGGAACAUAACCAGUCGAAAGAUUGGAUAAUAUUCCAUGUGGCCGCAAGGCUAAAGUCGCAAGACGCUUAAAGUGAGGCCUGGGCACCAUCAGCUAGUUGGUAAGGUAAUGGCUUACCAAGGCUAUGACGGUUAGGGGCCCCGAGAGGGGAAACCCCCACACUGGAACUGCGACACGGUCCAGACUCCUACGGGAGGCAGCAGUUUGGAAUUUUGCACAAUGGGCGCAAGCCUGAUGGAGCGACGCCGCGUGGGGGAUGAAGGGCUUCGGUCCGUAAACCCCUGUCAUUUGCGAACAAAGCUGCUGGCCUAAUACGCAAGUAGUUGAUAGUAGCAAAAGAGGAAGGGACGGCUAACUCUGUGCCAGCAGCCGCGGUAAUACAGAGGUCCCAAGCGUUGUUCGGAUUUACUGGGCGUAAAGGGUGCGUAGGUGGCGGGGUAAGUCUGGUGUGAAAGCUCCGAGCUCAACUCGGAAAAGCAUUGGAAACUAUCCCGCUGGAGGGUCGGAGGGGAGACUGGAAUUCUCGGUGUAGCAGUGAAAUGCGUAGAUAUCGAGAGGAACACCAGUGGCGAAGGCGAGUCUCUGGACGACUCCUGACACUGAGGCACGAAAGCUAGGGGAGCAAACAGGAUUAGAUACCCUGGUAGUCCUAGCUGUAAACGGUGCACAUUUGCUGUAAGAGGAAUCGACCCCUUUUGUGGCGAAGCUAACGCGUUAAAUGUGCCGCCUGGGGAGUACGGUCGCAAGAUUAAAACUCAAAGAAAUUGACGGGGGCCUGCACAAGCGGUGGAGCAUGUGGUUUAAUUCGAUGAUACGCGAGGAACCUUACCUGGGCUAGAAUGCCUUUGACCGAUCCAGAGAUGGGUUUUUCAGCAAUGACAAAGAGCAAGGUGCUGCAUGGCUGUCGUCAGCUCGUGCCGUGAGGUGUUGGGUUAAGUCCCGCAACGAGCGCAGCCCCUAUUCUUAGUUGCCAGCACGUAAUGGUGGGGACUCUAAGAAGACUGCCUGCGCAAGCAGAGAGGAAGGAGGGGAUGACGUCAAGUCAUCAUGGCCCUUACGCCCAGGGCUACACACGUGCUACAAUGGCAUAUACAAAGUGUUGCGACCUGGUGACAGGAAGCCAAUCACAAAAAGUAUGUCUCAGUUCGGAUUGCAGGCUGCAACUCGCCUGCAUGAAGUUGGAAUCGCUAGUAAUCGCAAAUCAGCAAUGUUGCGGUGAAUACGUUCCCGGACCUUGCACACAC
This 1355-nucleotide ribosomal RNA is filed under the name uncultured bacterium. RNAcentral describes it as "partial 16S ribosomal RNA". It matches the Rfam family "Bacterial small subunit ribosomal RNA". The record is from RNAcentral.